This 120-nucleotide non-coding RNA is filed under the name Hanusia phi. The record is from RNAcentral. Lineage: Eukaryota; Cryptophyceae; Pyrenomonadales; Geminigeraceae.
AAGGAAGCCUCAGCAGGAGCAGUCCCAUAGGAGAGGACGCGAGUGGGAGCAGUCAGGAUUUUUGAGGGUGAGCCGCCUGAGGAUUUUUGCAACGAAUGCUUCGGAAAAAUUGAAACGAUU